AACUGUUUAUCUAGAGUGCUGGAGAGGCAAGUGGAAUUCCUAGUGUAGCGGUGAAAUGCGUAGAUAUUAGGAGGAACACCAGUGGCGAAGGCGGCUUGCUGGACAGUAACUGACGUUGAGGCUCGAAAGCGUGGGGAGCAAACAGGAUUAGAUACCCUGGUAGUCCACGCCGUAAACGAUGACUGCUAGGUGUCGGGUGGCAAAGCCAUUCGGUGCCGCAGCUAACGCAAUAAGCAGUCCACCUGGGGAGUACGUUCGCAAGAAUGAAACUCAAAGGAAUUGACGGGGGCCCGCACAAGCAGUGGAGUAUGUGGUUUAAUUCGAAGCAACGCGAAGAACCUUACCAGGGCUUGACAUAUACAGGAAUAUCAUAGAGAUAUGAUAGCUUUUCGGAGUCUGUAAACAGGUGGUGCAUGGUUGUCGUCAGCUCGUGUCGUGAGAUGUUGGGUUAAGUCCCGCAACGAGCGCAACCCUUGUGAUUAGUUGCCAGCACGUAAAGGUGGGAACUCUAAUCAGACUGCCGGUGAUAAAUCGGAGGAAGGUGGGGACGACGUCAAAUCAUCAUGCCCUUUAUGUCCUGGGCUACACACGUACUACAAUGGUCGUAACAAAGAGAAACGAAACAGUGAUGUGGAGUGAAACUUAAAAAGCGAUCUCAGUUCGAAUUGAAGGCUGAAAUUCGCCUUCAUGAAGUCGGAAUUGCUAGUAAUGGCAGGUCAGCAUACUGCCGUGAAUACGUUCCCGGGCCUUGUACACACCGCCCGUCACACCAUGAGAGUUGGAGAUACCCGAAGCCUAUGAGCUAACUUUAAGAGGCAGUAGUCGAAGGUAGAAUCAAUGAUUGGGGUGAAGUCGUAACAAAGGUAGCCGUAAAGCC
RNAcentral lists this ribosomal RNA (877 nucleotides) under uncultured bacterium. Its description in RNAcentral is "bacterial SSU rRNA". It matches the Rfam family "Bacterial small subunit ribosomal RNA", at positions 631 to 1509 of the family's 1533-position model. The record is from RNAcentral.